ACUCCUACGGGAGGCUGCAGUUAGGAAUCUUGCGCAAUGGGCGAAAGCCUGACGCAGCAACGCCGCGUGGGGGAUGAAGGCCUUCGGGUUGUAAACCCCUUUCAGUGGGGACGAAGAUGACGGUACCCACAGAAGAAGCCCCGGCCAACUACGUGCCAGCAGCCGCGGUAACACGUAGGGGGCAAGCGUUGUCCGGAUUUAUUGGGCGUAAAGGGCUCGUAGGCGGUUCGACAAGUCGGGUGUGAAACCUCCAGGCUUAACCUGGAGUCGCCACUCGAAACUGUUGUGACUUGAGUCCGGUAGGGGAGCAUGGAAUUCCUGGUGUAGCGGUGGAAUGCGCAGAUAUCAGGAGGAACACCAGUGGCGAAGGCGAUGCUCUGGGCCGGUACUGACGCUGAGGAGCGAAAGCAUGGGGAGCGAACAGGAUUAGAUACCCUGGUAGUCCAUGCCGUAAACGUUGGGCACUAGGUGUGGGACCCCCUCAACGGGUUCCGUGCCGUAGCUAACGCAUUAAGUGCCCCGCCUGGGGAGUACGGCCGCAAGGCUAAAACUCAAAGGAAUUGACGGGGGCCCGCACAAGCAGCGGAGCAUGUUGCUUAAUUCGAGGCAACGCGAAGAACCUUACCUGGGUUUGACAUGUAGGGAAAAGCCGUAGAGAUACGGUGUCCUUUUGGGCCCUACACAGGUGGUGCAUGGUUGUCGUCAGCUCGUGUCGUGAGAUGUUGGGUUAAGUCCCGCAACGAGCGCAACCCUUGUCCUAUGUUGCCAGCGGGUUAUGCCGGGGACUCGUAGGAGACUGCCGGGGACAACUCGGAGGAAGGUGGGGACGACGUCAAAUCAUCAUGCCCCUUAUGCCCAGGGCUGCAAACAUGCUACAAUGGCCAGUACAAAGGGCUGCUAUACCGCGAGGUUGAGCGAAUCCCACAAAGCUGGUCUCAGUUCGGAUUGGAGUCUGCAACUCGACUCCAUGAAGCUGGAGUUGCUAGUAAUCCCGGAUCAGCAACGCCGGGGUGAAUACGUUCCCGGGCCUUGUACACACCGCCCGU
Molecule: ribosomal RNA, 1046 nt
Filed under: uncultured bacterium
Lineage: Bacteria
Description: bacterial SSU rRNA
Rfam family: Bacterial small subunit ribosomal RNA
Source: RNAcentral